AACGAACGCUGGCGGCGUGCUUAACACAUGCAAGUCGAACGGUGAACCUGCUUCUAUCGGGGAUCAGUGGCGUACGGGGGAGUAACACGUGGGCAACCUCCCCUCAGCUCUGGGAUAACUCCAAUAAUUUGGGGCUAGUCCUUGUUAUGACCGCUUACCGCAUGGUCUGGUGGUGGGCGGAUUUAUCGGCUGGGGGUGGGCUAAGGGCCUAUCAGCUUGUUGGUUGGGUAGUGGACUACCAGGGCGACGACCGGUACCCGGCCUGAGAGGGGGACCGGCCACACUGGGACGGGGACACGGCACAGACUCCAACGGGAGGCAGCAGUGGGGAAUAUUGCGUAAGGGGCGAAAGCCUGACGCAGCGACGCCGCGUGGGGGAUGACGGCCUUCGGGUUGUAAACCUCUUUCAGCAGGGACGAAGCGAAAGUGACGGUACCUGCAGAAGAAGCACCGGCCAACUACGUG
RNAcentral lists this ribosomal RNA (465 nucleotides) under uncultured bacterium. RNAcentral's name for it is "partial 16S ribosomal RNA". It matches the Rfam family "Bacterial small subunit ribosomal RNA", at positions 28 to 507 of the family's 1533-position model. The record is from RNAcentral.